GUUUGGUAGCCAAUUGCUAAAAUGUAUUUUUAUCUUACGCAAAUGUAUCUUUUAUCUUUAUCAUAUUUAAUACCAUGGCUCUGAUCCGAAAUCAGGGCAUUUUUGUUCGAACAAAUACCUAUAAUAACGAUGAAGAAGUGUGUGAUCUGCGGAGCAAACGACCUACGUCGGGUCGGGACUGAUAUGCGUGUGACUGUGCACAAGUUCCCGCUAAAAAAAGAAGUACAGAGAAAAGUGGAUGAGGGUGUGUGGCAUGACCAAUGAGCCAAGACCACAUGACCACUUAAACUUAACAAGAAGUGCGCACCAUGAUAAGCACAGUCAAAAACGUUUGCGUCUAAAGAACAGUGCUGUGCCGGAUCAGAAUAUUCCGUGUACGCCUUGGGUUGCUGUCACUGCUCGGUCACCCACAGAUGAAAGUGAUCAAGAAAUGGAUCACUCAGGUGUGGGAUCACUCGUGGAAGUUCACGGCGGAUACGGAGCCGUGCAUGCAGCUCUGGUUCGAUCCUGCUCAGGGAAGCCCCAAUGACGCCGUGGCGCGCAUCUGGGCAUCUGGGCCAGGGCGCAUCGCGGCCCUGGCGGCAGCGGCCCGCUCCUGACCCGGUCGCCCUGUGCUGAGCACAGAGCGCCGACUGAGGUCAGUCUUGUGAUCGAGCUUCCGCGCCGGAGGUGGAACAGGUGGAGCUGGCGGUCACCUGCGCGGGCACGGCAGCCUGUAAGCCGUGCCGAGACGAACCGCGACACUCUUGCUAGAUCUGCACCCCAUUGUAAUCUUCUGUAGUCGAUAUUCGGUAGGUACUCAAUGCUCAUUUUUUUGAUAUUAGACGAGUGGCGUGUUUUGAUGUUACAUUGGAGACUGCUGUCUCGGGUGGCCCGACAGUGUUCGAUUGUGGUGUAAUGUAGAAUCGUAGAUACAUAGACGGGAUGCCGCGGCUCGGAUUCGUAGCUGGACUACCAUGUGCCUGUCGAUUGAGAUGCUUUGCCUGGCGAUUGAGAUGAUUCGGGGCGCGGCCCCACACUGACGCCAUGGUGCAAUGAGUGACUGGCGACAACUAAGCAAUUAUGUACUUUUGUA
RNAcentral lists this long non-coding RNA (1075 nucleotides) under Amphibalanus amphitrite. RNAcentral's name for it is "uncharacterized LOC122379001". The record is from RNAcentral. Lineage: Eukaryota; Metazoa; Arthropoda; Thecostraca; Balanomorpha; Balanidae.